CGGAGAGUUCCCUUCGGGGACAUUGGUGACAGGUGGUGCAUGGUUGUCGUCAGCUCGUGUCGUGAGAUGUUGGGUUAAGUCCCGCAACGAGCGCAACCCUUGUCUUUAGUUGCCAUCAUUAAGUUGGGCACUCUAGAGAGACUGCCAGGGAUAACCUGGAGGAAGGUGGGGAUGACGUCAAAUCAUCAUGCCCCUUAUGCUUAGGGCUACACACGUGCUACAAUGGGUAGUACAGGGGGUUGCCAAGCCGUAAGGUGGAGCUAAUCCCUUAAAGCUACUCUCAGUUCGGAUUGUAGGCUGAAACU
RNAcentral lists this ribosomal RNA (305 nucleotides) under Clostridioides difficile. RNAcentral's name for it is "bacterial SSU rRNA". It matches the Rfam family "Bacterial small subunit ribosomal RNA", at positions 1007 to 1312 of the family's 1533-position model. Lineage: Bacteria; Bacillati; Bacillota; Clostridia; Peptostreptococcales; Peptostreptococcaceae. The record is from RNAcentral.